Molecule: ribosomal RNA, 467 nt
Filed under: uncultured Alphaproteobacteria bacterium
Lineage: Bacteria; Pseudomonadati; Pseudomonadota; Alphaproteobacteria
Description: bacterial SSU rRNA
Rfam family: Bacterial small subunit ribosomal RNA
Source: RNAcentral
GAGUUUGAUCCUGGCUCAGAAUGAACGCUGGCGGCAGGCCUAACACAUGCAAGUCGAACGCUCCGCAAGGGGAGUGGCGCACGGGUGAGUAACGCGUGGGAAUAUGCCCUUCGGUUCGGAAUAACACAGGGAAACUUGUGCUAAUACCGGAUACGAUCUACGGAUGAAAGAUUCAUCGCCGAAGGAGUAGCCCGCGUAGGAUUAGCUAGUUGGUGAGGUAAUGGCUCACCAAGGCGACGAUCCUUAGCUGGUCUGAGAGGAUGAUCAGCCACACUGGGACUGAGACACGGCCCAGACUCCUACGGGAGGCAGCAGUGGGGAAUAUUGGACAAUGGGCGAAAGCCUGAUCCAGCCAUGCCGCGUGAGUGAUGAAGGCCUUAGGGUUGUAAAGCUCUUUUCGCCGGGGAAGAUAAUGACGGUACCCGGAAAGAAGCCUCGGCUAACUCCGUGCCAGCCGCCGCGGUAAC